Molecule: long non-coding RNA, 205 nt
Filed under: Nicotiana benthamiana
Lineage: Eukaryota; Viridiplantae; Streptophyta; Magnoliopsida; Solanales; Solanaceae
Description: long non-coding RNA (NBEN_LNC000178)
Source: RNAcentral
AGGCAGCCUGUUGGAUUUAACAAGGCCACAAUGCCUGUUCCUCCUUCUCCUUUCAGACAGAGUCAAUUUUGACCAAGCCAUAGGACCUCUAUUCUGUAGAUACUGUAAAAAAUCUGGACACUUAAUUGAUAAGUGCUUCAAUAUCCAUGGGUAUCCACAAAGUACCACUUUUAACAAGGGAAGGAGACCUGCUGCUGCUCAUCUA